CGCUUAGACUCCUACGGGAGGCAGCAGUGGGGAAUAUUGCACAAUGGGCGCAAGCCUGAUGCAGCCAUGCCGCGUGUAUGAAGAAGGCCUUCGGGUUGUAAAGUACUUUCAGCAGUGAGGAAGGCGGGUACGUUAAUAGCGUGCUUGUUUGACGUUAGCUGCAGAAGAAGCACCGGCUAACUCCGUGCCAGCAGCCGCGGUAAUACGGAGGGUGCGAGCGUUAAUCGGAAUUACUGGGCGUAAAGCGCAUGCAGGUGGUUUGUUAAGUCAGAUGUGAAAGCCCGGGGCUCAACCUCGGAAUUGCAUUUGAAACUGGCAGACUAGAGUACUGUAGAGGGGGUAGAAUUUCAGGUGUAGCGGUGAAAUGCGUAGAGAUCUGAAGGAAUACCGGUGGCGAAGGCGGCCCCCUGGACAGAUACUGACACUCAGAUGCGAAAGCGUGGGGAGCAAACAGGAUUAGAUACCCUGGUAG
This 472-nucleotide ribosomal RNA is filed under the name uncultured bacterium. RNAcentral's name for it is "bacterial SSU rRNA". It matches the Rfam family "Bacterial small subunit ribosomal RNA", at positions 328 to 793 of the family's 1533-position model. The record is from RNAcentral.